GUUUUUUUUUGUAAAAGAUUUAAUYUGCUCAAUGAGAGUUUAAAUAGYUGCAGUAAUUUAACYGUACAAAGGUAGCAUAAUCAUUAGUUUUUUAAUUGAGGACUGGAAUGAAGGAUUGGACAAAAAAAUAACUAUUUAUAGAGAAUAAAAAUUAAAUUUUAUUUUUAAGUGAGAAAUCUUAUAUGGGUAUAAGGGACGAUAAGACCCUAUAGAUCUUUAUUUUUUUAAGGGAUGUAUUUUUAAAAAAAUUUUACUGGGGCGGUAGUUUAAAUCAAGAAUUAGGAAAGUUAAUGAUCAGAAAAAUUAAAAGGAGUUUAAGUUACCUUAGGGAUAACAGUAUAAUUAUUUUUGAGAGUUCAAAUUGACAAAAUAGUUUAAAACCUCGAYGUUGAAUUAAAAUAAGUUUUGGKGCARAAGUUAAAUGAUUAGGUCUGUUCCACCUUUAAAAUUUUACA
RNAcentral lists this ribosomal RNA (455 nucleotides) under Litocampa sp. Under rocks Archidona. RNAcentral's name for it is "partial 16S ribosomal RNA". The stretch from base 194 to 455 matches the Rfam family "Bacterial large subunit ribosomal RNA", at positions 2078 to 2600 of the family's 2925-position model. The record is from RNAcentral. Lineage: Eukaryota; Metazoa; Arthropoda; Diplura; Rhabdura; Campodeidae.